This 250-nucleotide ribosomal RNA is filed under the name uncultured bacterium. Its description in RNAcentral is "partial 16S ribosomal RNA". It matches the Rfam family "Bacterial small subunit ribosomal RNA", at positions 526 to 779 of the family's 1533-position model. The record is from RNAcentral.
CGUAGGAGCGAGCGUUGUCCGGAUUCAUUGGGCGUAAAGCGCGCGUAGGCGGUUGGUAAGUCGGAUGUGAAAUCCCGAGGCUCAACCUCGUGACUGCAUCCGAUACUGCCCGACUAGAGGUAGGUAGGGAGAUCGGAAUUCCUGGUGUAGCGGUGAAAUGCGCAGAUAUCAGGAGGAACACCGGUGGCGAAGGCGGAUCUCUGGGCCUUACCUGACGCUGAGGCGCGAAAGCUAGGGAGCAAACAGGAUU